This 897-nucleotide non-coding RNA is filed under the name Perkinsus marinus ATCC 50983. Its description in RNAcentral is "Eukaryotic large subunit ribosomal RNA". It matches the Rfam family "Eukaryotic large subunit ribosomal RNA", at positions 1 to 766 of the family's 3401-position model. Lineage: Eukaryota; Perkinsozoa; Perkinsida; Perkinsidae. The record is from Rfam by way of RNAcentral.
AAGGCGUGAUGUGUGUGAGAUUACCCGCUGAAUUUAAGCAUAUAAGUAAGCGGAGGAAAAGAAACUAACUAGGAUUCCCUUAGUAAUGGCGAAUGAACAGGGAUCAGCUCAGUGCCAAAUCGGAAUCACUUGUGGUUCUGAAAUGUGGCUUGAAGGCAGUACCAGUGGCAUCGCGGACGAAAGUCUCUUGGAAAAGAGCGUCAUAGAGGGUGAGAAUCCCGUGAGUCGUUCGCCGUUUGUCACGUACGGUCUGCGUUCUAACGAGUCGCGUUCCUUGGGAUUGGAGCGUAAACGGGUGGUAAAUUUCAUCCAAAGCAAAAUAUAUACUCGAGACCGAUAGCACAAAAGUACCGUGAGGGAAAGGUGAAAAGAACUUUGAGAAGAGGGUUAAAUAGUGCCUGAAAUCGUUGAGAAGGAAGCGGAUGCCGCCGUUGCAUAUGCUGAUUGUAGGAUUGCUGCUCGCUCCUGUCUUCUGCUACUCAUUCACAGACCUGGUCGUGUUGAGCAGUUGUUUGGCAGAUGUUAGUGGUGUUUCCUACUUUCAGUCGUCAGCAUCACUGGCUGAGUGGAAAUAAUCCUUGGAUGCUAAUUGGUUCGCUAUCUGUGAAUUGGUUGCUUCCUUGCGAUACUCACUACUCGGUCAGUGAGGAAGUGCGUUUGCUGGUCAACGAGCUUUCUAACUGUCAUUACCCUGCGCUUUUCGAUUCGUCGAGUGGCCAGGAUGUGGCUUUGAGAUUGUUCGCACUUAGUAAUCGCGAUGCUGGCUUCCAACGGUUGCCUCCGGCCCGUCUUGAAACACGGACCAAGGAGUCUAACGUAUGUGCGAGUGUGUGAGUGGCAAACUUAUACGCGUAAUGAAAGUGAGGCCGUAUGGCCAUGUUGGGGUCACCAACAACC